This 362-nucleotide unclassified non-coding RNA is filed under the name Hevea brasiliensis (rubber tree). Lineage: Eukaryota; Viridiplantae; Streptophyta; Magnoliopsida; Malpighiales; Euphorbiaceae. The record is from RNAcentral.
ACACUAUGCAUCCCACGGCUAAAAUGAGCACAAAGCCUCAACCAAGCGAAGCCCUAUGGAGCCAUUUUUGUGCUUUGGCCCAAUUGCUUAUGCACUAGACAUUUAUGAAGCAUGAAUCCCAGAAAUUCACAAUAUAAUUCAGGAGAUAUUGUAAUAAAUUUGAGCUUAUAUGAAAUUGGGGAAAAAACGAAUCUCAACAUAACUAUAUGCUGUACACAUACACAUCUACUGCAGUACUGCACAAAUCUCAGUAGUUAAAUUUGGAUUCGACGGUAAUGAGCAGUUAUGCUAAGAUUUAAACCAGAAGGGAAAAUAUCAAGAAAAAAGAGAAGAAGGUUAUGGAAAGGUACCUUUGAUGAUCG